CCUACGGGAGGCAGCAGUGGGGAAUCUUGCGCAAUGGGCGAAAGCCUGACCCAGCAACGCCGCGUGCGGGAAGAAGGCUUUCGGGCUGUAAACCGCUUUCAGCAGGAACGAAAAUGACGGUACCUGCAGAAGAAGGAGCGGCCAACUAUGUGCCAGCAGCCGCGGUGAUACAUAGGCUUCAAGCGUUGUCCGGAUUUAUUGGGCGUAAAGAGUUCGUAGGCGGUCGAGUAAGUCGGGUGUGAAAAUUCUGGGCUCAACCCAGAGACGCCACCCGAUACUGCUUGACUUGAGUUCGAUAGGGGAGUGGGGAAUUCCUAGUGUAGCGGUGAAAUGCGCAGAUAUUAGGAGGAACACCGGUGGCGAAGGCGCCACUCUGGAUCGAUACUGACGCUGAGGAACGAAAGCAUGGGUAGCAAACAGGAUUAGAUACCCUGGUAGUCCAUGCCGUAAACGGUGGGCACUAGGUGUGGGUUUCUAUUAACGAAAUCCGCGCCGUCGCUAACGCAUUAAGUGCCCCGCCUGGGGAUACGGUCGCAAGACUAAAACUCAAAUGAAUUGACGG
This 562-nucleotide ribosomal RNA is filed under the name uncultured bacterium. RNAcentral describes it as "bacterial SSU rRNA". It matches the Rfam family "Bacterial small subunit ribosomal RNA", at positions 338 to 916 of the family's 1533-position model. The record is from RNAcentral.